Molecule: ribosomal RNA, 253 nt
Filed under: uncultured bacterium
Lineage: Bacteria
Description: partial 16S ribosomal RNA
Rfam family: Bacterial small subunit ribosomal RNA
Source: RNAcentral
UACGUAGGGUGCGAGCGUUAAUCGGAAUUACUGGGCGUAAAGUGUGCGCAGGCGGCCGAGCAAGUCGAGUGUGAAAGCCCCGGGCUUAACUUGGGAAUUGCGCUCGAAACUACUUGGCUGGAGUGUGGCAGAGGAAGGUGGAAUUCCAGGUGUAGCGGUGAAAUGCGUAGAGAUCUGGAGGAACACCGAUGGCGAAGGCAGCCUUCUGGGCCAACACUGACGCUCAUGCACGAAAGCGUGGGGAGCAAACGGG